This is an RNA transcript of Pristis pectinata (smalltooth sawfish), 2640 nucleotides long. It is a transcript of the gene named ribosomal protein L7-like 1, with no coding region annotated. The record is from RefSeq and is a predicted model, not a curated record. The transcript has 8 exons. Lineage: Eukaryota; Metazoa; Chordata; Chondrichthyes; Rhinopristiformes; Pristidae.
GCUGCGCAUGCGUAGGAUCGGACCUUCCGCGCAUGCGUAGGAUCGGACCUUCCGCACAUGCGCGAGGGGACGGCGAUGGAGUCCGGAGAGAGGAGGAAGCUGCCACUUGUCCCAGAGAACCUGCUGAAGAGGAGGAAAGCUUAUCAAGCUAUUAAAGCUACCCAGGCCAAACAAGCCUUACAGGAAAAGCGAAAGCUUCAGAAGGGGAAGCAGAUUCGUUUUAAGCGGGUUGAGAAUUUUAUAAAAGACUCCAGGCGGAAAUACCGGGAUGAAGUCAGAUUUGUUCGGAUGGCAAAGAAGCCGGUGAGGGCUGAUGUGCCCGAGGGCCAGAAGCUGGCCUUUGCAGUGCGGCUCAGACCGAUUCAUGGGGUCAGCCCUAAAGUGCGGAAAGUUGUUCAGAUGUUACGGCUCCGAAAGAUCUACAGUGGAGCAUUUGUGAAGUUGAAUAAGACAUCGUUGAAGAUGCUUAAGGUGGUGGAGCCCUAUGUUGCUUGGGGGUUUCCUAAUUUAAAAUCUAUCCGUGAACUUAUUUUGAAACGGGGUCAAGCAAAAGUCAACAAGAAACGUGUGCCUCUAACCGACAACUCAAUCAUCGAGGAACACCUGGGAAAGUGGGGAUUGAUUUGUCUUGAGGAUUUGAUAUGUGAGAUCUACACAGUAGGAAAAUACUUUAAGGAGGCCCGCAAUUUUCUCCGGCCCUUCAGGCUCUCAGUAGCUCGACACGCAGCAAGGAAUAAAAUGGGAUUUCUCAAUGAAUUUGGAGAGACUGGACACCGUGGAAAAGAAAUCAACAAGCUCAUUCGUCAGCUCAAUUAAAGUGGAGGACACGUCUAACGUGCCAAAGAGAGAUGUUAUGGAUGCCAUGGGAGCUGAGGACCUCGCUACAGUCGCUGUCACAGAAGAGAUCCCUUAUAGAUAAAUGGCCAAGUAUGGGAUUUGCCCACCUAUACUAUGUAUAGUAAACCUCUACAGACUGAUAUUCAGCUUUAAGAUGUUCUUAUCUCAGACACAGUGGAAGGCAAGAUCAUCAGCAGAGACUGUCCAGUGCCCAGAUUAACUGAUGACCCAGGGCUGGAAGGAGAUCCUGUUCUGGCUGAAGAAAGCAGCAACCAUAAAGGAAUAGGAACGUCUACAAAUUGUUGCAAGCAGACUUUGACGACUUGAGAUUUGCAUUAAAAUUGUUAGUGGAUUUGAAUUUCUGUUAAAUAUCAGAUUAUUGACAAAAAUCUGAUUCACAAAUCAGUGGAGUUUGUUGAUCUUUAAUGGUGUGAAGUUUUUGUUCAUUUAUUUGGGUUAUAUGCAUCACUGGUUACAUUAGUUUUCAAUUUGCCAUCCUUGAUUGCUCUCGAGUAGAUGGUGGUGAGCUACCUUGAAGGCACUUGCAUGUUACUAUUGAGCUGGAUUCUUGGAUUUAAACCAACAGCAGCAGAGGAAAAAUAAACCUUUUUAAGUCAGAAUAGUGUGCAGCUUGGAACCCUCGUCCUCAGUGGUAGCGGUCAUGGAUUUGGGAAAUCCUGCGAGAAUAACUGCAGUGCAUUUUGUAGAUCCUGCAUGCUAUAGUUGAAGUGUACACUAGUGAGGGAAUGACUGCGAGAGUGUGAAUGAUAUGCCAGUCAAAUAGCUUGCUUUGGCCUGUAUGAUUUCAAACUCGAGUUGUUGAAAAUGCACUCAUCCAGGAGAGUAUUCCAUCACUCUCAUGGCAUGCCUUGAAGAUGGCUUUGGGGAAUCUGGAGCUGAGUCCCUUUCUAUGGGAAACCCAAACUCUUGACCUGCUGUUAUAACUAUGGUAUUAUAAUUAUGUCAAUGAAUUUCAAGGAGAGCUGCUAAAAUGGUCAUUGGGACUAUUUUGUGAAUAUCACUUGCCACAUCAGCCUAUGCCUGAACCUUAUUCUGCAAAAUAGUCAUUGGUUGCUUCAUUUGAUGAGAAAAGUGAGUUGAAUCGAAUCCAUGCAAUCAUUAUUGCACUUUGACACAAUAGAUGGAAAGUCAUAGAUGAAGCAGCUGAAUGUAGUUGGACCUCAGUGCCCUGAGGAAUUCCUGUAGUAAUGUCCUUUGGGCUGGUUGAUUGACUAGCAAUUAUCUUCCUUUGUACAUUGAGUGAUUCCAACCAUUGGCAUUGAGUUGUACAGCACUGAAAUAGGCCCUUCAGCCCACCACACCAUGCUGACCUUUUUGCCCAUUUACACCAAUCCCAUUUGCCCUCAUUAGGUUCAUAUCCUCCUCUGCCUUGCCUAUUUAAUUACCAGUCUAAGUCUCUCUUAAAUGUAGUGAUUGUAUCUGAUUACCAUGGGGGAGGGGGGUGGAAUUCUGAAUAUCUACCCCAUCUGCCUCUAAUUUUAUCAACCUCCAUCAGGUAACCCCUCAGCCUCCUGCAUUCCUCUUGAUAUAUGCCAACUUCAGUUUUCCCUUGGUGCAACACUAACAAGUGAUGCCUUGAUGGCAAGGUCUGAAAUCAAUCAUUUUGGGCCAUGUUUGGACUAAGCUGGUGAAGAGGUCUGAACCCUAUUUGCCCUUGCAAAAGCCAAAUUUCCACAUUGAUGAAAAAAUGUUGUAGAUGCUGGAAAUCAAAUAAAUGUUAAAAUGUAAAACUUGCAGCAUUUGUGGAGAUAGAAAUAAAGUUAACAUUUACGCUGAAAGUCA